CCUACGGGGCGCAGCAGUGAGGAAUAUUGGUCAAUGGACGAGAGUCUGAACCAGCCAAGUAGCGUGAAGGAUGACUGCCCUAUGGGUUGUAAACUUCUUUUAUAUGGGAAUAAAAUGUUCCACGUGUGGGAUUUUGUAUGUACCAUAUGAAUAAGGAUCGGCUAACUCCGUGCCAGCAGCCGCGGUAAUACGGAGGAUCCGAGCGUUAUCCGGAUUUAUUGGGUUUAAAGGGAGCGUAGGUGGAUUGUUAAGUCAGUUGUGAAAGUUUGCGGCUCAACCGUAAAAUUGCAGUUGAAACUGGCAGUCUUGAGUACAGUAGAGGUGGGCGGAAUUCGUGGUGUAGCGGUGAAAUGCUUAGAUAUCACGAAGAACUCCGAUUGCGAAGGCAGUUCACUGGACUGCAACUGACACUGAGGUUCGAAAGUGUGGGUAUCAAACAGGAUUAGAUACCCCAGUAGUC
Molecule: ribosomal RNA, 460 nt
Filed under: uncultured bacterium
Lineage: Bacteria
Description: partial 16S ribosomal RNA
Rfam family: Bacterial small subunit ribosomal RNA
Source: RNAcentral